AUAGAGACUCAGAGCUGCAUAUCAAUAAGCGGAGGAAAAGAAACUAACAAGGAUUCCCUUAGUAACGGCGAGUGAAGCGGGAAGAGCUCAAAUUUGAAAUCUUCAAGGUUUUACCUUGACGAAUUGUAGUUUAAAGAAGUGUUUUCUGUUGGAGUUUCGGUAAAAGUUCUUUGGAAUAGGACAUCAUAGAGGGUGAGAAUCCCGUAUUUGACCGUUACUUUCCAGCUGUGUGAUACACUUUCAAAGAGUCGGAUUGUUUGGGAAUGCAGUUCAAAAUGGGUGGUAAAUUUCAUCUAAAGCUAAAUAUUGGCGGGAGACCGAUAGCGAACAAGUACCGUGAGGGAAAGAUGAAAAGAACUUUGAAAAGAGAGUUAAACAGUACGUGAAAUUGUCAAAAGGGAAGCGUUUGACACCAGUGUUGUUUAGUUGAAAAUCAAUUCAAUAGUUUUUGAUUUUAAGUAGUAUUUGACUUCAUCAGCUUGCUGCUUUUUUCUCUGAAAUUAUUGAAUGCACCUUUCAGUUAACAAGUCAACAUCAGUUUCUUUUGUUGUAAAAAGGUGAGAGGAAGGUGGCUUGCGCUUCGGCUCAAGUGUUUAUAGCCUUUUACCCCUGCAAUCGAAGAGACUGAGGUCUGCAGCGUAGAUCCUUCGGGGUUAGAUACAUUUGUGCUAAGCUAUAGCCUUGUAUAGACAACUUGUUGACUAUGCUCAGUCAUGUAGCUUACUCGCUUAUGCUAUUUUACCUACGCUUAGGAUGUUGAAGUCAUCGUAUCGCGC
RNAcentral lists this ribosomal RNA (776 nucleotides) under uncultured Neocallimastigales. Its description in RNAcentral is "partial large subunit ribosomal RNA". It matches the Rfam family "Eukaryotic large subunit ribosomal RNA", at positions 23 to 645 of the family's 3401-position model. The record is from RNAcentral. Lineage: Eukaryota; Fungi; Neocallimastigomycota; Neocallimastigomycetes; Neocallimastigales.